This 817-nucleotide ribosomal RNA is filed under the name Lepraria neozelandica. RNAcentral describes it as "SSU rRNA". It matches the Rfam family "Bacterial small subunit ribosomal RNA", at positions 358 to 1171 of the family's 1533-position model. Lineage: Eukaryota; Fungi; Ascomycota; Lecanoromycetes; Lecanorales; Stereocaulaceae. The record is from RNAcentral.
GGGAUAUUGGUCAAUAGCCUAACGGCUGAACCAGCAACUUGGAGGAAUGUAUAGCAAUAGCUGAUUGCACCAACAAAUAGUUGAUGCAAUAUUGACUCUGUCAAAUAAAAUUCUAGGUAGAAUUAUGAUAAUGACAUUGUCUGCCUAUAUGUCUUGACCAAAUUACGUGCCAGCAGUCGCGGUAAUACGUAGAAGACUAGUGUUAUUCAUCUUUAAUAGGUUUAAAGGGUACCUAGACGGUAAAUAAAGCCUUCGCAGGGACUAAUUUACUAGAGUUACUUACGAGGGGGUAUUAAAGUACUGCAGGUGUAGAGAUGAAAUUCUGUCAUACCUAUUUUGGAAGGAAAAAUUAUGGCACAGGUAUAGGUGAAAGCAUCCCCUUNAUGUGAUAACUGACGUUGAAGGACGAAGGCUUUGUGUCGCGAACAGGAUUAGAUACCCCAGUAGUCAAAGCAGAAAAUGAUGAAUGUCAUAGAUUAGAAGAUAAAUAGUUUAUUCUAUAAAUGAAAAUGUAAGCAUUCCACCUCAAGAGUAAUUUGGCAACAUUGGAACUGAAAUCAUUAGACCGUUUCUGAAACCAGUAGUGAAGUAUGUUGUUUAAUUUGAUGAUCCGCAAAAAACCUUACCACAAUUUGAAUAUUUAUAUCUAUCUUUUUUUUCGUAAAAAAAUAAAAAGGUAAUAUAUUUACAAGCGUUGCACGGCUGUCUUCAGUUAAUGUCGCGAGACUUUGGUUAGUUCCAUUAAAUUAACGUAAACCCUUACUUUAUUUUCAUAUAAAGUAGUUCCCCGCUAUANUGGAUAUGAUAACAGGACUAA